RNAcentral lists this long non-coding RNA (314 nucleotides) under Gossypium barbadense (sea-island cotton). RNAcentral's name for it is "long non-coding RNA (GBAR_LNC012448)". The record is from RNAcentral. Lineage: Eukaryota; Viridiplantae; Streptophyta; Magnoliopsida; Malvales; Malvaceae.
CAAGCUGGUGUCGUCGAAGCUGCUCAAAUCUAUUCCGAAUUAGUCCGUCUUGGUGCUGACAUGAAAGUUAUUGACAUUGGAGGCGGCCUUGGAAUCGAUUACGACGGGUCAAAAUCCGGUAAUUCUGAUCUCUCUGUUUCUUAUGGCCUUCAGGAAUAUGCUUCAGCUGUUGUUAAUGCUGUUCGGUUUGUCUGUGACCGUAAAUCUAUCAAGCAUCCAAUUAUCUGUAGUGAAAGUGGUAGAGCUAUUGUUUCCCAUCAUUCUAUUUUGAUAUUUGAGGCCAUGUCUGCUACUGCUCCUACUACCCCAGCAAU